GGGGUUGUGGCUCAAUGGUAGAGCGCUUGCUUUGCACGAAUGAGGCUCUGGGUUCGAUCCUCAGCACCACA
RNAcentral lists this transfer RNA (71 nucleotides) under Marmota monax (woodchuck). Its description in RNAcentral is "tRNA.Ala". It matches the Rfam family "tRNA". From Rfam's summary of the family: Transfer RNA (tRNA) molecules are approximately 80 nucleotides in length. Their secondary structure includes four short double-helical elements and three loops (D, anti-codon, and T loops). Lineage: Eukaryota; Metazoa; Chordata; Mammalia; Rodentia; Sciuridae. The record is from RNAcentral.